GUCUACGAUCAUACCACGUUGAAAGCACCGCAUCCCGCCCGAUCUGCGAAGUUAAGCAACGUUGGGCUGACGUCAGUACCAGAAUCGGAGACGU
RNAcentral lists this ribosomal RNA (94 nucleotides) under Trichinella patagoniensis. The record is from RNAcentral. Lineage: Eukaryota; Metazoa; Nematoda; Enoplea; Trichinellida; Trichinellidae.